Molecule: non-coding RNA, 2216 nt
Organism: Zonotrichia albicollis (white-throated sparrow)
Lineage: Eukaryota; Metazoa; Chordata; Aves; Passeriformes; Passerellidae
Source: RefSeq, a predicted model, not a curated record
UUAUCAAGGUUAAGAAAACACGAAAACAUCAAAACAAGGGGGGCUGCCCGAUGCCGAGCGCUGGCAGUGGCCCCGGAUGGCUUGCGGGACCGAGGGCAGGGAGAAGCCAGCGUCCCUCUGGCAGCCAGGGACGGGCAGCAGCCGCCCUGCCAGCCCGCGCUCGGCUCGGCCGCUAAGGGCCAAAUGCGCUGUCUUGUGCUCCCGCAGGCUGCCUUCUGGUACGGAAGAAGCAGAAGACCUAGAAGAUCUGACUGCUUGAAUAUUUUUACUGCUUGAAUGUCAUGUUUUGAGGUCGAUGCACUCACCUGCCAGCUGCUAUGGAAGGAUUCUGCCCUGCUGUAUGAUCAGACAAGCCAUAUCUUCUCAUGAGGAUCGGGACCAUGAUUCUUGACAGAGCUAGCAUUUUCCAAGAAGGAUAUUAAUUAACCCUCAUUAGAGGUGACAGUGCCUGAGAGGGUGCAUUAGGGGAAAAUGAAGGCUCCCUUCCUCAUCACGAACGUCUUUGGCUGCAGACACUGCAAGGAUCAGAUCUAAUAGGAGCCUAAGAUGUUGCAUAAACCAAAAAUGUAUGAAUCAUGGAGAAAAAGAAUCAGUGUUCAGAAUAUAUGAGGUGCUUUCAUGCUGAGAUUUGUUGAAGUUGAUACAGUACCUUUGUCCUACUGGAAGGUUAAAGUUGGAGAAGGAAAUACUUGCUCCCAAGAAGCAGAAACUGAACUCUCCCAAAAGUUUGUAAUGUUUCUGAUCUUAAUACUACAACAGAAAAGUUCAAAAGCUGAUUAGGUAAGAUCCAGAUGACUAGUACUACUAGAAGGUAAGCCUUAUUAGGUCCAUGCCUAAAAACAAAAAUUCUAUUAAAGACUACGUAUUUUUUAAGAAUUAAUCAGAUUUAGAAUUUGUUUACAUUUCAUAGUUCAUGAAACUAAAAUAACCACAUGCAAGAUACUCAGGUACUAAGAACAAACAAAAACAAUGGUACUAUAGAAAAGGAGAAAAAGGCCUAAUGCAACCUCUUAGCAAUUGUUAGGAAUUUGAACUUCAGUUUCCAGCUUCAGAAGCUCACAUAUAUUCCAGUAAUUGCCAUUAAAAUCAUUUACUGCUCCACUAACCAAUAUUGUCUAAGACAUCCCUUAGAACAACUGUUUAAAUCAGUAUUGAUAAAAAAUCCUUGCACAAUAAAAAUUGGUCUUUUCCUAAAAUUUUACCUUGAGUUUGGCCUUAAACAAAGCUCCUCUACUGUAUCAGUAGAACACAGGACAUGGAUGAAACCCAUGUCAGAGAAGCAAUCAGCUGAAAAAAGUAAGAAAGAGGCAGACAUAGAUUCCCUCCCAGCAUUUAGGCAUAGCCUCACAGUUAUUUUGGUAUAUCAGUAUGGUGUAUUGAAGGAUGUUGUGCAGCUAGGCUCAAAUAUAAUCCCUUGACCUUGUACUGGUAGGGGGAAAGAUUUCACUGUUAUUGCCUUGUGCUUUUCUUGCUAGAGGCAGAAAAGAUUUCUGAGGUUUUUCUGAUCCCACUUUUCACUUGGACCACAUUAACUUUAAAACAAAUAAAAAUAAACAAAUAAACCAGAAAGUUUGUUUUGUACUAAAAAAACCAGAAUCUAUCAUAAAUUUUAUUAUCAAAUUAUAGUGAAAAUUCUCUAAGCAUUAUUGCCACAUUUUUACAGGCAUGUAGAGGAAGAAUCCCCGGUGUUUUGGUUCCAAAUGCUCCAGCCUUAGAGGAUGUUAAAAAUUAAAUAGAAUAGAUGUUGGAAAUGCCCAAGGCAUAAAACCCUAGCAUAGCUUUUUCAAAAAUAAUUUCUAAUCUAGUUUGGUUUGUUGGUUUUGUUUCUUUUUUAUACCUUAUCAGAACAUGCAUCAAACUUCUUGGUAUUCACACAGAACAGGAAGUUUAUAAGCUUAUGUGUUCAAGGCCAGGUUGGACGGGGCUCUGAGCAAGGUGUCCAUGCCCAUGACAGAAGGAUGGGAUUAGAAUUCUCAAGUGUCCUUUCCAACCCAAACCAUUCUAUGAAGCCUAGAGGAGGACAAAAAGAAAUACACACCUUUCUGCUUUUCACUGGUUGGAAUCAAAUACCUUGGGACCAGACCCAUGGAAUUAUCACAAUGGAAUUCAAUAUGAAAGGAAAAGAAACCUUAUUCAGGUAAGGUUUAUUAUUCUGUUUCUUUACAUCUUUGAUAGUUGAAGCAAGCAUUUCAAAGAUAUAGAAAAGGAAGACUCUC